RNA transcript from Magnolia sinica, 1514 nucleotides. It is a transcript of the gene named myosin-13-like, with no coding region annotated. The transcript is spliced from 3 exons. The record is from RefSeq and is a predicted model, not a curated record. NCBI's taxonomy places the organism in Eukaryota, Viridiplantae, Streptophyta, Magnoliopsida, Magnoliales, Magnoliaceae.
UUUUGAAAAUGGCAUUAAAUCGCGCCAAUAUUUAUUUCUUUUAGAUUGAAUGGAAAAAUCAUUUUUAGUAGUUGAAGUUCUGUGAUAUUUGGUGGAGGCAUCCAGAAAUGGCCUCUUAUGAUAUUUAUGUCACUCAACAUUAAUUUGUUAUAAGCUAUGGUGAGUUUACUAGAAAAGAAGAUUGAAGAAAUGCAAUUGGAAGAGAUGCAGCUUCAAUUCAAAGAAAUUGAAAAGAUGCUAGUGAAGAAACAAGAGACUGUGCAAGAAGUAGCAAACUUAAUUCCUGUCAUACAGGAGGUCCCAGUCAUUGAUAGUGUGCUGUUGGAUAAACUGACUUUUGAAAAUGAGCAACUGAAGGCCAUGGUGAGCUCACUGGAAAAGAAGAUAGAUGAAACUGAAAGAAAGUAUGAAGAAACACAUAGGCUUAGUGAAGAAAGGCUUAAGCAGGCUAUGGUUGUAGAGUCAAAGAUAAUCCAAUUAAAGACUGACAUGCAUAUGUUCUUGUAGUUUCUUUGUUAACUUUCUUAGACUGUUAAGCUAGAAUUAAGCUUCAGCUUCAAUGGGUUUUGCCAUUUUUAAAUUAUAAGAAGACAACUAUUAUAGUGCUCUCUUGUUUCUUUCUCAAGAUUGUCCUUUUUUUAAUUGAAAAAUCAUUGUUUACUUUUUGUCAUAGACUAGAAGAAAAGCUGCUGGACAUGGAGACCGUGGAUAUUCUAAGGUUGCAGGCCUUGUUAAAAACACUUGUAAACAUUUCAAGCUCUAUCCUCAUUUAUUUAGAGUCUCCCUUCCCAUUGCUUUUGACCUCAUUCUAUCUGAUUCUUUCUGCUGUUUUGUUAUCAUACAACCUACUAAUUGGUGGUGCAUGGCAUUUUAGUUGUUAUAUCAGUGACGAAAGGUGUAAGUUCUCAACUAGAGGUGAUAUUGGCAGUGCAAAUAUAGUAUGCAGGUAGAACAACAUUGUAGAUGAGGUUUCAUUUCAUGCAGCUGAUGGUCAUUGCCAAAGUUCCUUCCAUCCAUUUUUGGAGUGCAUGAAGAACUAAAAUCUUUUGUUUGUGACAUUUCACUAGCCACCCUUGCGGUAACGUGAUGUUUCAAAUUCAUUUCAACAUAAAAUCGCGUUUUGCAAUAUUCCUUGUUCUCCCAUUUCUCCAUCCUUAUUCUUGCGUGGUGAUGGAAACUCAUUGCUUGGUUUUGACUUGGUUGUUCCAUGAAGAAAAAAUCUGAAGAAAAAAAGGAAAAGGAGUUGUUGGCUGUUGACCUCUAGUUCUUUUGAUUUCUUCAUUUGCCAUAAAUCACUGUUCAAAAAUUCAAAACUCUACUCGACUCGAUGUUCAUCUUGGUUGGGUUGACUUAAAGACUUGACCCAACUUGACUUGAUAUUUAAUUUAUUAUAAAUUGAAUGUACUAGGAUUGUUAAUAGAUAUUUAAAAUAGUUUGAUCUCAUAUAAGUAAUAUAAAUCCUAACUCAUAGCAACGAAAUUGUUGGUACCUCACUAGCUAAGGUCGUUGCCUCC